GGGAAAGGCAUGUAUCUACUGGAAUUUGCAGUGGGACGACCCACUGUGCUGGUGCAGCCAGACAGCCACCAAACGCGCCAUCUCCGUGCUAAUGAAACCCUUCACUGACCGCUCAGGGCACGCUAUGGAAUAUGAUAGUGUGCAAGAUUGUAAAAGCCAGGCAGGAGGGGUAGAGUAUUGGAGGAGGUCUUCAAGAGGACAUGACUGCCAGUUGACCCCAGAGCCGGACCUGGACAAUCGGAGGCUCCUCACCCUUCUCAUGCCCUUGGAAUGUACGCUUUGCCCACCAUUCCCACAUUGGGAGCUGUUUUCAAGGAUGUAGCCUUGAAAAUAAUGUGUUGUUGAGACCACCUGGACUGAAUACGUGACUGAACCCAGCUAAGGCCUCUAUGCAAACUUUUUAAGAUUCUGGCAGACGGGUGAGGAGAUCUACUCAUCCGGCAGCUGCCUAAGACCAGCCUCGUAUGUAAGUUCCCUUGCUUAUCAAAUCUGCCACCUACUAAGCUGGAGUGGUCUGCUUCUUUCUUUGGUCUCUUCUUGCCCUCAUGGAUGGGAGCCAGUUUGAGAUUUCACCUCGGAAGCUCCUUAGUUUGCAAGCCAAUACUCAGAUGCUGUGUUGUAAGGGAUUCCAUGUCUGUGGAUCAUGUAUUCCCUAAGCCUGCAGAUGAUGCUGCCUGAGGCUCUACGGGCAGGAGAGGCAAACCCACACCUGAAAUAGGUAUCUAUACCUGUGAGGAUGAUUCACAGGUACUUCUUUUUGAGCUAGGUUAGACAUUCAGAGGCAGCAGUAGCUAGAUCCAUCUUGGUAAGUGGGAGAACAUAAUGUUGGGCCCAUAUGUAGCCUCCAUUUCUGCCAUUGUGACUACUUCAUUUAUGAGCCUUUUGUGCAGGUUCUGGGUUGGCUAAUGGCAGAGUCAUUUUGUCUACUUUGUCGUUCAGUCCCUCCACCGUGGUGGAUGUUUUCUGGGUAUAAAUGUGUGAUACAAAAAUUUUUACUCUUCAUGAAGUGUCUGUAUGUUCAUCUACGUGCCUCUACUCCAGAUAUUAUCUCUGACCUUCCAGUCUUUUUCUUUCCAAAACCCUCACUAAAGGCCAGACCUUUGGCCACUGUCCAGGAAUCUCACUUCUUGGGCUACUUCUUCUGUACAAAGUAGAUGAACAGAUAUAUUGUUUGCAGUGCUGCC
Molecule: long non-coding RNA, 1184 nt
Filed under: Equus caballus (horse)
Lineage: Eukaryota; Metazoa; Chordata; Mammalia; Perissodactyla; Equidae
Description: lncRNA (ENSECAG00000052198.1)
Source: RNAcentral